AUGCCUGAUGGUUCAUAUCGAACAAGCGACGUUACAAGACAGCUGUCACCUCCAGCCCACACUAACAUGGUACGGCUGGAGGCCUUUUCGGACAACAGCGGGAAGCUCCAGCUGUCCCUGCAGGAGAUCAUCGAAUGGCUGACAGCUAAAGACGAGGAGCUGUCCGAGCAGCUGCCCAUAGGUGGUGAUGUGGGAGCGGUGCAGCACCAGCGGGAGUUCCACCAGGCUUUCAUGGAAGAUGUCAAAUCCAGAGGGCCCUACAUCUACUCGGUGUUGGAAUCAGCUCAGACCUUCCUUUCACAACACCCCUUCCAGGAGCCUGAGGAGACAUUGCCUGAUGGCAAAGAAGGCUCUCCUCGCCGGCGAAUGCUGAAUGUAAGUCGCUCCGUAUGGAAGCAGGCCAAUGUGGCCAGUGACCUGUGGGAGAAGUUGACAGCGCGCUGCGUGGACCGACACCGGCACAUGGAGCGAACCCUGGAGAGGCUGCUGCAGAUCCAGGCCGCCAUGGAGGAGCUGGCUGUGGCUCUGGAGCAGGCGGAGGGAGUAAGGGACGCCUGGGAGCCUGUGGGAGACCUGUUUAUUGAUUCGCUGCAGGACCAUAUAGACGCUACCAAGCUAUUUAAAGAAGAGCUGACCCAGGUGAAGGAAGGAAUGAAACACAUAAAUGACCUGGCCCACCAGCUGGCCAUAUCCGAUGUGCACUUGUCCAUGGAGAACGCCAGAGCUCUGGAGCACCUCAACAACAGAUGGAAACUUCUGCAGGGGUCUAUUGAAGAACGUCUGAAACAGUUGCAAGAUGCCCACAGAGAUUUUGGCCCCGGAUCACAGCACUUUCUUUCCAGUAAGUGUGGUAACUCACUUGAAGCCGUAGAGUCUUCUGCCGGAGUCCAUCAGGCUCAGACAACCUGCUGGGACCAUCCAAAGAUGACUGAAUUAUACCAAGCUCUGGCGGACCUGAACAAUAUCAAGUUCUCUGCAUACCGGACUGCCAUGAAGCUGAGGCAUGUGCAGAAGGCUUUAAGAUUGGACCUGCUGAAGUUAAGCAGCGUGGUGGACGUGUUUCGAGAACAGGAGCUGCAGCAUGCCGAGCAUGUGAUGGAUGUGGUGGAGGUCAUUCACGCUCUCACUUCCCUGUAUGAGAAACUAGAGGAGGAGAGGUCCAUCCUGAUCAAUAUCCCCCUGUGCGUCGACAUGUGUCUCAACUGGCUGCUGAAUGUUUACGACAGUGGUCGUAAUGGUAAGAUGCGAGUGCUCUCCUUCAAGACGGGCCUGGUUAUUCUAUGCAGUGCAGACAUCCAGGAAAAGUAUAAAUACCUUUUCAGACAGGUGUGUGGUCCAGGUGGACUGACAGAUCAGAAACAUCUCAGCCUGUUACUGCAUGAGGCUAUUCAGAUCCCUCGGCAGCUCGGGGAAGUGGCGGCGUUUGGAGGAAGCAACGUGGAGCCCAGUGUCCGCAGCUGCUUUCGAAUGGCUCCAGGUAAGUCAGCUAUCGAGGUGUCUCACUUUCUGGAGUGGAUGAGCCUAGAGCCUCAGUCUGUGGUGUGGCUUCCUGUUCUACACCGGGUAACUGUGGCAGAGACAGCCAAGCACCAGGCACGCUGCUACAUCUGUAAGCAGUGCCCUAUCAAGGGCUUCAGAUACCGAAGUCUGAAACAGUUCAAUGUGGACAUCUGCCAGAUGUGUUUUCUGACGGGCCGGACUACCAAGGGCAAGAAACUACACUACCCCAUCAUGGAGUACUACACCCCGACGACCUCAGGCGAGAAGAUGCGGGACUUCGCAAAGACGCUAAAGAACAAGUUCCGCUCGAAGCAGUAUUUUAGUAAACACCCUCAGAGGGGAUACCUGCCCGUUCAAUCAGUACUGGAGGUGGAGAGCUCUGAGACGCCCUGCUCAUCUCCCAGGCUGCCUCAUGCGGACACACACAGCCGGAUCGAGCAUUUUGCCAGCAGGUUGGCAGAAAUGGAGAACCAGAGCUGCUCCUUUUUCACCGACAGUCUCUCUCCAGAUGAAAGUUUGGAUGAAGAUCAGUACCUCCUACGUCACUCCAGCCCCGCCCUCGAGCAGGACUCCCCCCACGGCCACCUGCUGGCCCACCUGGACUGCCAGGACAGAGAAGAGCUGCAGCGCACCCUCCAACGCCUGGAGAACGAGAACAGGGUGCUGCAGGGCGAGUAUCGGCGGCUGAAGUGGAAGCAUGAAGAGGCAGCAUCUUCACCUCAGCUGCUGGAAUCGGGUCCCGGUUCACCGGCCGGUCAGCAGGACGAGGAGCUCCUAGCCGAGGCUCGAGUCCUUCGACAGCACAAGACCCGCCUGGAGACGCGCAUGCAGAUUCUAGAGGACCACAACAAGCAACUGGAGUCCCAACUACACAGACUCAGAGAACUACUGCUGCAGGUGAGAUAUAGCCUAAAACAUAUGCCUGUAUACCUAAAGAAUGAGAAGUAUCAGGACACCGUACUGCAGCUGCAGCAGGUAAUCGAACAGCUGAGGAACGUCUUCCCAUCUGAGCCAGGUCCAUGA
This is a long non-coding RNA of Sinocyclocheilus grahami, 2523 nucleotides long. Ensembl annotates it as dystrophin-related protein 2-like. NCBI's taxonomy places the organism in Eukaryota, Metazoa, Chordata, Actinopteri, Cypriniformes, Cyprinidae. The record is from Ensembl.